This 4805-nucleotide unclassified non-coding RNA is filed under the name Leishmania donovani. Its description in RNAcentral is "gene:LdHU3.34.4590(CDS-product:metallo-peptidase_ Clan_MC_Family_M14)". The record is from RNAcentral. Lineage: Eukaryota; Euglenozoa; Kinetoplastea; Trypanosomatida; Trypanosomatidae.
CACAUCAUCUGUCGUCCGCGUUUGCUUGGGACAAGUCGACUGGAAGCUGUCAGAAGCGUUGCCAGUUGCCUAGACAGCAUCCCUGCUGUGAGCCUGAUCACAGAGCAGCUGAUCAUAUCCCCUAACACAUCUGCACUGAACCCUAGCCCAUUGUGUCGCCCUCGCGAAGGCAGACAACAACAGCCGCACCUGCAGUCAAGUAUUGAGGCUAAAUCCCCCUUUGGUGUGCACAACGACGUCAACGUGACUGAUAUGGGGCUGGGCUUCAGCGGCUGCUCCCAGCAAAGUUCGCCUAGGGAGGCCGCUGCGCAGCGGACCUCGAUAGAGGGUCACCGCGACGCAUCUCGAUGCAUUUCCAACAGCACGAAGUUGCAGUCGAUGAACGGGCUGGAUCGCGAUGCUUCGCUGCGCGGCGCUGAUGAUGCGGCACGCGGCGCUGCAGGAUCGCAGAUACGCGCUGCAAGCCUGACGGCGCCAGGGCCGGAAGUGGAUGAUGCGCACUGGGUGUUUCAGAGACCGCCGAACAACCAGCGCACCUUCUACUUUCAGGAGGACAAUCUUGAGUUCUCGUCACAGUUCGACAGCGGCAACUUGAUUCAGGUGGAGCGGGUGGGCGUCUUCCACUACCGCAUGUACACGGCAAUGGACUGCGGCAACGCACCAUGGCAGACCAACAACCGCCAGUGGUUUCACUUCUCGGUCCGCGGCGGCAGCAAGGGCGCCGUCGUCACGAUUUGCUUUGUCGGCAUGGCACACAGCAAUAUGUUCACCUAUGAUUGGAUGCCGGUCAUGGCCGUUGUGCCUACGCGACCGCAGUACACUCGCAUCGCUGGAAAGGCGCACGUGGAGGCCCUUGAGAAAAUGCCAGAGACUCCCGGCUAUCCUCUGCUUGUGCACAAGCCCGUGUCGAAGGACGACGCCGACAGUGACGGUGGCGGCGAUGAGGGUGACAACGACGCCGAUGCCGGCGCUGCUGGCGCCAAUAACAAUGGAGGCGCUGGCGGAAUCGCUUUCUCCAUCUCGCCUACGGGCAGGUCCUCUGGAACCAGCAAGAAGAAAAAGACUAAAAAGAAGAGCAUUGCUAUGAACCUCACCUUCAACUUCAAAAUUGAGACAGAGAUCGCGGUAACGUACACGCCGCCGCAGGGGCGUCCAGACUCGCCCGCGAUCUACAUUGCAAGCAACCACCCUUAUACCUACUACACACUGCAACGCAACCUUGCGAUGUGGCAAGAGACGGCGCGACGAAGUAACACUUUGCGGGAGAUGAGUCUGCAGGCACCCGAUCACCAAGCGCGGCGCUCCAGCUCCGAGCAGCGUAGCGGGCCGGACUCAUACGCCGUAGACGGCCUGGCCACAGUUCAGCCUGGAAGCAGCGGAAGGAGUAAGAAAUGGGUUGGAAGUUUCAACACCGGCAACGUUGCUGUUCAAUACUCUGCGGAGUUCAGCGAGAUCUAUUUCCACCGCGAGGUUCUCUGCAAAUCACUGGAGGGGCGCGACGUUACACUGCUGACUAUUAGCGACUGCAGCCGCAUGGCGAUAGAGCGGGCACCCCUCCUUUCAAAGGAAGACGGCCUUCCCCACUCCUCGGCUCUCGGCUUUACGCAGCGUCCGUACUCCUUUUUUGGCAAGCAGUACGUCGUGCUGACGGCUCGUGUACAUCCAGGCGAAUGCCCAGGCAGCCAUCUUAUGCACGGCUGUAUUGAUUUUCUCAUGAACUGCACAGACUGUAGAGCGGCGGCGCUGCGGCACAACUUUGUCUUUUGCGUGGUCCCGAUGUUGAACCCGGACGGCGUUGUUCGCGGCCACAGCCGCGUCGACUCAAACGGCGUCGAUCUCAACCGCAUGUACAGGGACCCGUCGCGUAAGCGACACCCUGCACCAUACGCGGUUCUCGCCCUGCUGCGGUCACUGGGCAGCCGCGUGGCACUUUUCAUUGACAUGCACGCACAUGCCAAUAAGCGAGGCACCUUCUUUUACGGUAACAGCAUGGACUGGGCCAACCAAAUAGAAAACCUGCUCUACGCAAAGCUGGUCUCGCUUAACACGCCCUAUCUCGACUUCCGCAGCUGCAACUUCUCGGAGGCAAACAUGUUCGCCGUCAGCAAGUCUGGCAAGCGCAAGGACUCCUCCAGUCGCGUUGUGGCCUUUACCGAGGCCGGUAUCGUGCACGGCUACACCAUCGAGACCUCGCACGUGAUGGCCGACGCACUGAAUCCAGUCGCCCUCCUGACGAAUCAUCAAACCGACCAGCUGGAUACUGCCCUUCCAAGUCCACCGCCUGUUAUGCACUCACCGGCAACCUUUCGCGACACUGCUCGUGCGAUGCUGCUGGGACUGCUGGACCUUAAGGGUAUCAACCCCAAAAGUCGCCUGCCCUUGACACAAUUUCACUCCACCCGCGGACUGGCUCUUUGGCUGCAGCGGCAGCUGCAGAUCGAGUCCGCGGAGACACUUUUUGCGCAGGCCUUCAAGCUGCACGGCAAGGAGGCUCAGGCUUCCACCAGCGAGUCUGGGAACACUCUGCUCGCGACCAUCAUGAAGAGCAUGGCGGCAGAGGAGUAUCCCGAGAAGAUCACCAUCAGGGAGGCGCGAUUGCUACCCCGCACCACCUUCAGCGGUGUUCGCAGCUUUGUCCCACUGGAUACGGCAAUCGUGCUGCUGUCGCAAACCGUGCCAACGGGGCCGCCGCGCUCGCUUUUGUAUGGCAGCGGCAACUGUGGAGCGGCAAGCGGCGCUGCCGCUGCCGGGGGAACCGGCAGCAAAGGCGGCGGCAGUGCUCAGCGCCGUGGCACGUCUCCCUCCUUUAGUGGGAACAACUGCACGACUGCGAUCCCUCCGGCGGUGAUUGCGACGCGGCGCCGUUCGAAGCCCAUGCUUCUCUCCAGCGAUACAACUGUCGAAACGUAGCAGUGCUGUUACUCGGCACCCGAAAGCGUUUCUGGAUUUUGGUUUUCUUUUUGCUCAGCAGCGCCCGAGUGACGUUACCCUACGUCCGCAACGGCUCCACCCCACUCUUCGUUUCAUGGGUAACGUGCUGGGCCAUACUCAUAACCGCACUCGCUGAAUGGCACAGCUUGUCUAUCCUUUGUACGCCACCGAAACAGGUGCCGUCUUUUUCUUUCGCGCGACAUCUUCCUAGCUGGUGCACGCCGCCGCCGCAGGUGAUAGUGAGAAAUAUGGAGCCAGGCGCGCUCGUGUGAGUACUGUGUUGCCCUUCUGAAGUUGCGGCUUCUGUGUCACUCUGCUCAUAUGAUUUCUGUUCCCUUUUUUUUGCUCCACGGACCCCUCUUCGCGCACUUGUGGAGAGGGGGAGUUCAUAAAGUCAGCUCGCACGCUCUCUGUUGUUGUUGUGGAUGUGCUGGUACGCCUUUUGUUUAUCCUUUUACGCUUCCAGUUUGUAAUGUACAUGAGAUUGGCUCGUUUUUUUUUCGCGUUUUUUUGUUGUUGUUGUGUAUGUUUAUGUCGGAGGGGGGAGGAGAACUCCAUCGUGCAUUGUCCACUUACAUGCGCAUCACCCAUCAAGCGCGUCCAUCAACUUCCUCUUUGUUGUUGCUGCGUUGGCCCCUCCUCGUCAGCUGGAAGAAAGGCAAAAAACACAAACGUACAAUCUCCCUGUUAGCGUGUGCGCGCGUCUUUAGCCCGUGAGCUCAGGGAUGGCACUUUUUCUUUGUUUGGAGGGCGGGCGGCACAGACAUGGACGAAGUGCUCAUCUCCACGUGCGUGCGUACAGGCGACGUGGCCAGCGUGCACAUGAUGGGAGAUACGCACUUAUAAAUGCGCACACUGGCACAUGCUGUGCAGCAGUGGAUUCGUCUUUUAGAGUUUUUCAGUGCGCGCCGCUCUAUCAUCCAUCGUGCUCUCCCUUCUCUUGUUUCCUUAGUUCAAAUCACCAUUUUUGUGUGUGUGUGCUUUUUUAUCUUUCUCUUGCGUGCGUGCCUGCACGCGCUGACACCUUAUGCUUCGCUGCUGUGACUACGUUGUCUGUGCCUUGCGUGUUUUGCCUUGCCAAUCGCCUUUGCUCUAAUUUCUGAAGCGCUCUCCUUUCGUCUCGAUCACAUACAAAGUGUGGUGAUUCCCGGGUGCGCUCAGCAGUUUUGCGCGUCUUAUGGUGGUGCUGUUGGCAUGUGCUGCUCUCUCUCUCUCUCACUUGUGGGUGCCUGCGGGUCUGGUUCUGUUUUCCGGCGGUCGUGCGUCUUUCCAGGACCCAUGCGUGGGCCGCGACCCUCUUCGGUACUGUCGCGACUUGGAAGCAGCACCGGCAAAAGCUGACGGCGAGAUAUUGUGACCUUCCACCGCUCACUUGUGCGCCUUUUCGCUGUUGUUGAUGAUGGUGCCAUUUGAUGAGGAUAACGCGAAACAUGUGAGGAACGAGGAGCGAUCUCUUAGUUUUUGCAGCAGGUGCACGGCGUCGUGCCUGAGAAUAAGCUCUCACGCCGUACCGCUCACGUGAGGGGGUUGCGGCUCUCUACGUACGCACCUGUUGUGGAACACUCAUGUUAUCGUUCACUGAUUGCUCCCUCCUACAUGCUCAGUGAUAAGAGUGAGAUGUGUAUUUGAGCGGCUAAGUGCUGUGGACCAGCCCUCGCCACUCACCUCACCGGCAUCAUUCGUAAUUCCUCUCCGCCUCUACUCUCUUGCUUUCCCUCACGCUCUUCUUCUGAUCAACAUCGCCGUGUGAGGGGUACACACAACCGCACGCCGAAAAAAAAACGUCCAUUUGUGUGCGAUUCGACCGCAUGUUGCUGUGCUUGUCAUGAAUCAUGGCUGUGAAAAUGCUCGUCAUGCCUAGGAAACACGAAAAG